UGUUGUCCCUGGUCUGAUCGCCUCUACAUCAAAUUACAUGUACAUUGUGUUUAGAACUGAUAGCUAUAAUACGUAUAGGGGCUUCAAUGCUUCUUAUUAUACACAAUCAAGGACAAAUAACUUAACUGGAUCACAAGGUUUUAUUAUUAGUCCAGGAUUUCCUCUUGGUUACCCUAACAACCAGUACAUCACCUGGAGAAUUGAUAGUGUUUCUGGGACAUUUAUCAUUUUAAAUAUCAGAUUAUCUGACUUUGGGCCACUAACGACAAACUGCAGUAAUGACUAUCUUCAAGUCUUUGACGGGUUUUCUAGUAGCUCAAGACAGUUGGCUACACUGUGUGGAAACGUUGUCCCUGGUCUGAUCACCUCUACAUCAAAUUACAUGUACAUUGUGUUUAAAACGGAUAGCUACAAUAACUAUAGGGGAUUCAAUGCUUCUUAUUUUACCUACACAACGACAAAUAUCAUUUCUGGAUCACAAGGACUUAUUAUUAGCCCAGGCUUUCCUAUUGGUUAUCUCAACAGCAGUCACAUUACUUGGACACUUAACGGAUCU
Long non-coding RNA from Physella acuta, 556 nucleotides. RefSeq lists it as uncharacterized. NCBI's taxonomy places the organism in Eukaryota, Metazoa, Mollusca, Gastropoda, Physidae. The record is from RefSeq and is a predicted model, not a curated record.